AAUCAACGCUGGCGGCGCGCCUAACACAUGCAAGUCGAACGAGAAAGUGGAGCAAUCCAUGAGUACAGUGGCGUACGGGAGAGUAACACGUGGAUGAUCUACCUUUUAGUGGGGAAUAACUCUGGGAAACCGGAGAUAAUACCGCAUAAUCCCGAGAGGGGAAAGCAGCAAUGCGCUGAAAGAGGAGUCCGCGGCCGAUUAGCUAGUUGGCAGGGUAAAAGCCUACCAAGGCAAAGAUCGGUAGCCGGCCUGAGAGGGCACACGGCCACACUGGCACUGAAACACGGGCCAGACUCCUACGGGAGGCAGCAGUGGGGAAUCUUGCACAAUGGGGGAAACCCUGAUGCAGCGACGCCGCGUGAGCGAUGAAGCCCUUCGGGGUGUAAAGCUCUUUCGGCAGGGAAGAUGAUGACGGUACCUGCAGAAGCAGCUGCGGCUAACUACGUGCCAGCAGCCGCGGUAAUACGUAGGCAGCAAGCGUUGUUCGGAGUUACUGGGCGUAAAGGGUGUGUAGGCGGUUAUUUAAGUUUGGUGUGAAAUCUCCCGGCUCAACCGGG
This 557-nucleotide ribosomal RNA is filed under the name uncultured soil bacterium. RNAcentral describes it as "bacterial SSU rRNA". It matches the Rfam family "Bacterial small subunit ribosomal RNA", at positions 28 to 617 of the family's 1533-position model. The record is from RNAcentral.